AUUUACAAUAAAAAGUCUCUUCAAGAUUAAUUUUAAGCUAUGAAUUUUUGGAUGGAUUCUAAAAGGGAGCAUAAUGGAAGAUCCAAACGUCGAGCUGAACAAAGAGAACCUUGUUGAGUAUCUUCGACAUGACGAUACGUUUGUAGAGUACUUUAACACAUUUCUUUCAUUGCCAUGCUUUCAAACAAGAAUUUACUACGACAAACGAUCUGGCCUUUUGGAAGAAUUUACACAGAAACUGGUCAAAGAUGCCUGUGGAAAUAUUCAAAAGAGACACGAUCCAAC
This is a long non-coding RNA of Xenia sp. Carnegie-2017, 285 nucleotides long. RefSeq lists it as uncharacterized. The transcript has 4 exons. The record is from RefSeq and is a predicted model, not a curated record. Lineage: Eukaryota; Metazoa; Cnidaria; Anthozoa; Malacalcyonacea; Xeniidae.